AGGAUGAACGCUAGCGGCAGGCCUAAUACAUGCAAGACGAACGGUAAGUUGAGUAGCAAUACUUAGCCAAGAGUGUCGUACGGGUGCGUAACACGUAUGCAACCUACCCUAUACAGGAGGAUAGCCUAGGGAAACCUGGAUUAACCCUUCAUAGUAUUAUUGGAUGGCAUCAUUUGAUAAUUAAAACUGAGGUGGUAUAGGAUGGGCAUGCGUCUGAUUAGUUAGUUGGCGGGGUAAUGGCCCACCAAGACGAUGAUCAGUAGGGGUUCUGAGAGGAAGAUCCCCCACACUGGCACCGAGAUACGGGCCAGACUCCUACGGGAGGCAGCAGUAGGGAAUAUUGGUCAAUGGAUGCAAGUCUGAACCAGCCAUGCCGCGUGCAGGAAGAAGGCCUUCUGGGUUGUAAACUGCUUUUGCCAGGGGAUAAAAUUUCCAUGCGUGGAAAACUGAAGGUACCUGGUGAAUAAGCCACGGCUAACUACGUG
This 485-nucleotide ribosomal RNA is filed under the name uncultured bacterium. Its description in RNAcentral is "bacterial SSU rRNA". It matches the Rfam family "Bacterial small subunit ribosomal RNA", at positions 26 to 507 of the family's 1533-position model. The record is from RNAcentral.